AACGAACGCUGGCGGCAGGCUUAACACAUGCAAGUCGAACGGGCUAGCAAUAGUCAGUGGCGCACGGGUGCGUAACACGUGGGUAAUCAACCCUUCAGCUCGGGAUAACGCCUUGAAAGGGGCGCUAAUACCGGAUGCGACGCGAGGAGCCUCGGCGCUUCGCGGGAAAGAUUCGCAAGGAUCACUGAAGGACGAGCCUGCGGCCCAUCAGCUAGUUGGUGAGGUAAGAGCUCACCAAGGCGAAGACGGGUAGCUGGUCUGAGAGGAUGAUCAGCCACACUGGAACUGAGACACGGUCCAGACUCCUACGGGAGGCAGCAGUGGGGAAUAUUGCGCAAUGGGCGAAAGCCUGACGCAGCCACGCCGCGUGAGCGAUGAAGGCCUUCGGUCGGUAAGACUCUGUGGGAGGAGAAGAAUAAGACCUGUGAAGAA
RNAcentral lists this ribosomal RNA (432 nucleotides) under uncultured bacterium. RNAcentral describes it as "bacterial SSU rRNA". It matches the Rfam family "Bacterial small subunit ribosomal RNA", at positions 29 to 464 of the family's 1533-position model. The record is from RNAcentral.